Molecule: ribosomal RNA, 497 nt
Filed under: uncultured bacterium
Lineage: Bacteria
Description: partial 16S ribosomal RNA
Rfam family: Bacterial small subunit ribosomal RNA
Source: RNAcentral
GAUGAACGCUGGCGGCGUGCCUAAUACAUGCAAGUCGAGCGAACAGACGAGGAGCUUGCGCCUCUGACGUUAGAGGCGGACGGGUGAGUAACACGUGGAUAACCUACCUAUAAGACUGGGAUAACUUCGGGAAACCGGAGCUAAUACCGGAUAAUAUAUUGACCUGCAUGGUUCAAUAGUUAAAGUCGGUUUUGCUGUCACUUAUAGCUGGAUCCGCGCCGCAUUCACUAGUUGGUAAGGUAACGGCUUACCAAGGCAACGAUGCGUAGCCGACCUGAGAGCGUCGUCGGCUACCCUGGCUCUGAGACACGUUCCAGACUCCGACGGGGAGCCGCAGUACGGAAUCCUCCGCAAUGGGGCAGUGCCUGACGUUGCAACGUCGGGUGAAGCAUGAAGGUCUUCUGAUCGUAAAACGCUGUUAUUAGGAAAGUACAAAAGUGUAAUUACCUAUGCUCAUCUUGACGGUACCUAAUCAAUAAGCCCCGGCUAACUACGUG